GAUGAACGCUGGCGGCGUGCCUAAUACAUGCAAGUCGAGCGAACGGACGAGAAGCUUGCUUCUCUGAUGUUAGCGGCGGACGGGUGAGUAACACGUGGAUAACCUACCUAUAAGACUGGGAUAACUUCGGGAAACCGGAGCUAAUACCGGAUAAUAUUUUGAGCCGCAUGGUUCAAAGGUGAAAGACGGUCUUGCUGUCACUUAUAGAUGGAUCCGCGCUGCAUUAGCUAGUUGGUAAGGUAACGGCUUACCAAGGCAACGAUGCAUAGCCGACCUGAGAGGGUGAUCGGCCACACUGGAACUGAGACACGGUCCAGACUCCUACGGGAGGCAGCAGUAGGGAAUCUUCCGCAAUGGGCGAAAGCCUGACGGAGCAACGCCGCGUGAGUGAUGAAGGUCUUCGGAUCGUAAAACUCUGUUAUUAGGGAAGAACAUAUGUGUAAGUAACUGUGCACAUCUUGACGGUACCUAAUCAGAAAGCCACGGCUAACUACGUG
This 497-nucleotide ribosomal RNA is filed under the name uncultured bacterium. Its description in RNAcentral is "partial 16S ribosomal RNA". It matches the Rfam family "Bacterial small subunit ribosomal RNA", at positions 28 to 507 of the family's 1533-position model. The record is from RNAcentral.